UAGUCCACGCCGUAAACGAUGGUUACUAGCUGUUCGACGUAAGUUGAGUGGCUAAGCGAAAGUGAUAAGUAACCCACCUGGGGAGUACGUUCGCAAGAAUGAAACUCAAAGGAAUUGACGGGGGCCCGCACAAGCGGUGGAGCAUGUGGUUUAAUUCGAUGAUACGCGAGGAACCUUACCAGGGCUUAAAUGUAGAUUGACAGGUUUAGAGAUAGACUUUUCUUCGGACAAUUUACAAGGUGCUGCAUGGUUGUCGUCAGCUCGUGCCGUGAGGUGUCAGGUUAAGUCCUAUAACGAGCGCAACCCCUGUUGUUAGUUACCAUCGAGUAAUGUCGGGAACUCUAACAAGACUGCCGGUGCAAACCGCGAGGAAGGUGGGGAUGACGUCAAAUCAUCACGGCCCUUACGUCCUGGGCCACACACGUGCUACAAUGGUAGGUACAGAGAGCAGCCACUGGGUGACCAGGAGCGAAUCUAUAAAGCCUAUCACAGUUCGGAUCGGAGUCUGCAACUCGACUCCG
This 521-nucleotide ribosomal RNA is filed under the name uncultured bacterium. RNAcentral describes it as "bacterial SSU rRNA". It matches the Rfam family "Bacterial small subunit ribosomal RNA", at positions 791 to 1320 of the family's 1533-position model. The record is from RNAcentral.